This 297-nucleotide ribosomal RNA is filed under the name uncultured bacterium. Its description in RNAcentral is "partial 16S ribosomal RNA". It matches the Rfam family "Bacterial small subunit ribosomal RNA", at positions 28 to 334 of the family's 1533-position model. The record is from RNAcentral.
GAUGAACGCUGACAGAAUGCUUAACACAUGCAAGUCGACUCGAGUCUUCGGACUUGGGUGGCGCACGGGUGAGUAACGCGUAAAGAACUUGCCUCUUAGACCGGGACAACAUCUGGAAACGGAUGCUAAUACCGGAUAUUGUAUUUUAGGGGCAUCCCUUUGAUACCAAAGAUUUAUGUGCUGAAAGAUGGUCUCGCGUCUGAUUAGCUAGUUGGUGAGGUAACGGCUCACCAAGGCGACGAUCAGUAGCCGGUCUGAGAGGAUGAACGGCCACAUUGGGACUGAGAUACGGCCCAG